AAGAGCAAUGAGCGGGGAGUCAGGAUGUCUGGACACUGGUCUAAUGACUACUAUUCAUUUGCUGUGUGACCUUCGGCAAACCAAUGCCCUUCUCUGUUUCUUCAUUCACCAAAGGAGGAUGUCAGUUAGACCAGCUUCUUUCUUGAUCAGGUCCUGAGAUGCACUUCUUCUACGGCUUUUCCAACGAGCCAAGUCCUAGAAAGGAGGAAAAACAACAAAAAGAUGCUAUCCUUCAGAAAUUCACAUUACCAAAUACAUUCCACUCCUCUCCUCAAGAGCUUUUCACUUCAGUCACCAUCCCAACUCGUUUGUGAGGCACCUCUUUGACUCAUGAACUAACCUUUUCUGUGGAUGAACUGUUCUCUGAAAGUUCAACUCAACAUUCUGAAGCCUUUCUAAUUUGAGAGCUCUUCAGUACUACCUUUUUCUUGUUUCAGUCUUUUAAAUGUAUUUCUGGAAAACUGCAUGACAGACAUGCACUAAUCUAGUUGUGACUUGAAGGUAUCAAAAUGUUUCUGAAAACUGAAUCCAAGCAGUUAACUCUUCCUAUCAGUUUCUUUUUUUUUCUUUCUGACAGAUAAAAAGGGAUAAAGACUUAUUUUGACCGUG
Molecule: long non-coding RNA, 609 nt
Organism: Phascolarctos cinereus (koala)
Lineage: Eukaryota; Metazoa; Chordata; Mammalia; Diprotodontia; Phascolarctidae
Source: RefSeq, a predicted model, not a curated record